AUACGGAGGGUGCAAGCGUUAAUCGGAAUUACUGGGCGUAAAGGGCGCGUAGGCGGUCUAUCAAGUCAGUUGUGAAAUCCCACGGCUCAACCGUGGAGGUGCAUCUGAAACUGAUAGACUUGAGUAUGGGAGAGGAAAGUGGAAUUCCCGGUGUAGAGGUGAAAUUCGUAGAUAUCGGGAGGAACACCAGUGGCGAAGGCGACUUUCUGGACCAAUACUGACGCUGAGGCGCGAAAGCGUGGGGAGCAAACAGGAUUAGAAACCCCGGUAGUCC
RNAcentral lists this ribosomal RNA (274 nucleotides) under uncultured bacterium. RNAcentral's name for it is "partial 16S ribosomal RNA". It matches the Rfam family "Bacterial small subunit ribosomal RNA", at positions 523 to 796 of the family's 1533-position model. The record is from RNAcentral.